UUCUAAGGGCGCAUGGUGGAUGCCUUGGCAACAGGAGCCGAAGAAGGACGUGGGAAUCUGCGAUAAGCCUGGUGGAGUCGAUAACCGGACGUUGAGACCAGGAUUUCCGAAUGGGGAAACCCCGCACGACGUGUCGUGUGACCACCGGUUGAACACAUAGACCGGUUGGAGGGAACGUGGGGAAGUGAAACAUCUCAGUACCCACAGGAAGAGAAAACAAAAGUGAUUCCGUUAGUAGUGGCGAGCGAACGCGGAUGGGGCUAAACCGUAUGUGUGUGAUACCCGGCAGGGGUUGCAUGUGCGGUGUUGUGGGCCCCUCCUUGUCAUGUCUGCCGGCAUGGCGCAGUGAGGUGCGGGCAUAUAGACGAACCAGUGUGGAUGCUGGACCGUAGAGGGUGAGAGUCCCGUAGUCGAAAUGUGUUCCGCCGCUGUUGGAGGGUCGCCCGAGUAGCACGGGGCCCGAGGAAUCCCGUGUGAAUCUGCCAGGACCACCUGGUAAGCCUGAAUACUACCUGUUGACCGAUAGCGGAUCAGUACCGUGAGGGAAUGGUGAAAAGUACCCCGGGAGGGGAGUGAAAUAGUACCUGAAACCAUGUGCCUACAAACCGUUGGAGCCUCCUUGUUGGGGUGACAGCGUGCCUUUUGAAGAAUGAGCCUGCGAGUUAGUGAUACGUGGCGAGGUUAACCCGUGUGGGGAAGCCGUAGCGAAAGCGAGUCUGAAUAGGGCGCUUUAGUUAGUAGUGGUAGACGCGAAACCGUGUGAUCUACCCAUGGGCAGGGUGAAGCUGUAGUAACAUACAGUGGAGGCCCGAACCGAUAUACGUUGAAAAGUGUUCGGAUGACCUGUGGGUAGGGGUGAAAGGCCAAUCAAACUCUGUGAUAGCUGGUUCUCCCCGAAAUGCAUUUAGGUGCAGCGUUGAUUUAUAGUUUUAUAGAGGUAGAGCUACUGAUUGGAUGCGGGGGCUUCACCGCCUACCAAUUCCUGACAAACUCCGAAUGCUAUAAAAUGAUAAUCAGCAGUGAGGGCAUGGGUGCUAAGGUCCAUGUCCGAGAGGGAAAGAACCCAGACCAUCAGCUAAGGUCCCAAAAUAUAUGUUAAGUUGAAUAAACGAGGUUGAACUGCUUAGACAGCUAGGAUGUUGGCUUGGAAGCAGCCAUUCAUUUAAAGAGUGCGUAACAGCUCACUAGUCGAGCGGUUCGGCAUGGAUAAUAAUCGGGCAUAAACAUAUUACCGAAGCUAUGGAUUUACAGUUUACUGUAAGUGGUAGGGGAGCAUUGUAGUGUCGUCGAAGGUGUGCUGUGAGGCAUGCUGGAGAAGCUACAAAAGAAAAUGUAGGCAUAAGUAACGAUAAUGCGGGCGAGAAACCCGCACACCGAAAGACUAAGGUUUCCUCAGCUAUGCUAAUCAGCUGAGGGUUAGUCGGGACCUAACGCGAACCCGAAAGGGGUAGUGGAUGGACAACAGGUUAAUAUUCCUGUACCUGCUCACACUAAAAGUGACGGAGGCGAAAAGUUAGUGCGUACUGACGGAAUAGUACGUUGAAGCGAGUAGUAAUACCGCGAUAGUACACUGAGACUACGGUCAAGGUGAUAAUCUAGCAAAUCGACUUCCAAGAAAAGCGAGUGAAGCAGCCCGUACCCUAAACCGACACAGGUAGUUGGGAUGAGAAUUCUAAGGUGCUCGAGAGAUUCAUGGCUAAGGAACUAGGCAAAAUAGACCCGUAACUUCGGGAGAAGGGUCGCCCUGUAGCAAUACAGGGCCGCAGUGAAAAGGUCCAGGCGACUGUUUAUCAAAAACACAGGUCCAUGCGAAGUCGUAAGACGAUGUAUAUGGACUGACUCCUGCCCGGUGCUGGAAGGUUAAGAGGAUUGGUUAGC
Molecule: ribosomal RNA, 1878 nt
Filed under: Eucampia antarctica
Lineage: Eukaryota; Bacillariophyta; Thalassiosirophyceae; Eucampiales; Eucampiaceae
Description: partial Bacterial large subunit ribosomal RNA
Rfam family: Bacterial large subunit ribosomal RNA
Source: RNAcentral